GUCGACUCAUCGGCCAGAACCCUGUCCAGUAUCCAGAAGCCAAGCCGGGUGUGGGCCAGAUGGUUUCUAGCGCAACGGGAAGAGAAUGCAAGGGAGGCAGAGCAGGUAUGAAUAUUACCAUUUUACAGAUGUAGGAACUGAGAUCCAGGGUGGUGGAGUGCCUUAGCCAAGGUCAUGUAAGUUGGAUGCACGUGUCAACCGAAGUCUGACUCAUCAGGGAUCUAGGGAGCAAUGCACCGGCACCCUCCAAGGAACACCUGGACAACUUCACCAUCUACAAGGAAUCCAUGUUGAAUUUGGACUCUACAUUGGACAUCCUUCAUGACAAUAGUAAACCUCUUUGGCUAUCAUACAUCUCCCUGUUUGAUACCUCAUUUGAUGUUAAUAAUCAGAGGGUUGUUGAACAAGAUUUCUUCGUUCAGGAAACUUCAUAUGAAUUCAACCUAUACAUGGGAGACAAAUUGGUGGAGAAGAUUCUUUAAAGUAGCAUUUUUCUGUAUAGCAUCAAAUACCUUUUAUGGUCAAUAAACAGUAAG
Molecule: non-coding RNA, 536 nt
Organism: Phascolarctos cinereus (koala)
Lineage: Eukaryota; Metazoa; Chordata; Mammalia; Diprotodontia; Phascolarctidae
Source: RefSeq, a predicted model, not a curated record